Molecule: ribosomal RNA, 361 nt
Filed under: uncultured bacterium
Lineage: Bacteria
Description: bacterial SSU rRNA
Rfam family: Bacterial small subunit ribosomal RNA
Source: RNAcentral
AACGAACGCUGGCGGCGUGGAUAAGACAUGCAAGUCGAACGGGACAACAUCUGUAGCAAUACAGGUGUUGUUUAGUGGCGAACGGGUGCGUAACACGUGGGCAAUCUGCCGAGAAGUGGGGGAGUAGCUCGCCGAAAGGACGAAUUAAUACCGCAUAUGAUCAGUGAAGACAUCUUCACGACAUCAAAGACCGGGGCGAACCUGGCGCUUCUUGAUGAGCCCGCGGCCUAUCAGCUAGUUGGUGAGGUAACGGCUCACCAAGGCUAUGACGGGUAGCUGGUCUGAGAGGACGACCAGUCACACUGGAACUGAGACACGGUCCAGACACCUACGGGUGGCAGCAGUCGAGAAUUUUUCUCAA